GACGAGCGCUGGCGGCGUGCUUAACACAUGCAAGUCGAACGGAAAGGCCCUGCUUUUGUGGGGUGCUCGAGUGGCGAACGGGUGAGUAACACGUGAGUAACCUGCCCUUGACUUUGGGAUAACUUCAGGAAACUGGGGCUAAUACCGGAUAGGAGCUCCUGCUGCAUGGUGGGGGUUGGAAAGUUUCGGCGGUUGGGGAUGGACUCGCGGCUUAUCAGCUUGUUGGUGGGGUAGUGGCUUACCAAGGCUUUGACGGGUAGCCGGCCUGAGAGGGUGACCGGCCACAUUGGGACUGAGAUACGGCCCAGACUCCUGCGGGAGGCAGCAGUGGGGAAUAUUGCACAAUGGGCGGAAGCCUGAUGCAGCAACGCCGCGUGCGGGAUGACGGCCUUCGGGUUGUAAACCGCUUUCGCCUGUGACGAAGCGUGAGUGACGGUAAUGGGUAAAGAAGCACCGGCUAACUACGUG
RNAcentral lists this ribosomal RNA (468 nucleotides) under uncultured bacterium. RNAcentral describes it as "partial 16S ribosomal RNA". It matches the Rfam family "Bacterial small subunit ribosomal RNA", at positions 28 to 507 of the family's 1533-position model. The record is from RNAcentral.